This 74-nucleotide transfer RNA is filed under the name Bifidobacteriaceae bacterium MCC01966. RNAcentral describes it as "tRNA-Arg". It matches the Rfam family "tRNA". From Rfam's summary of the family: Transfer RNA (tRNA) molecules are approximately 80 nucleotides in length. Their secondary structure includes four short double-helical elements and three loops (D, anti-codon, and T loops). RNAcentral also lists the same sequence under 1 other name. Lineage: Bacteria; Bacillati; Actinomycetota; Actinomycetes; Bifidobacteriales; Bifidobacteriaceae. The record is from RNAcentral.
GCCCUUGUAGCUCAGUGGAUAGAGCGUCCGUCUCCGGAACGGAAGGUCACGAGUCCGAUUCUCGUUGAGGGCAC